RNAcentral lists this ribosomal RNA (2691 nucleotides) under Clostridioides difficile. RNAcentral's name for it is "23S ribosomal RNA". It matches the Rfam family "Bacterial large subunit ribosomal RNA". The record is from RNAcentral. Lineage: Bacteria; Bacillati; Bacillota; Clostridia; Peptostreptococcales; Peptostreptococcaceae.
ACCUGAAGGAAGAGAAAGAAAUUCGAUUCCGUAAGUAGCGGCGAGCGAACGCGGAUUAGCCCAAACCAAUAAAGUUUUCUUUAUUGGGGUUGCGGACAUAUCAUAACGAAGAGGUAUCGUAAUUGAAGAGGUUUGGAAAGACCCACCACAGAAGGUAAUAGUCCUGUAUGUUAAACGAGAAGACUUCAGAUAUGAUCCAGAGUACCACGGGACACGUGAAACCCUGUGGGAAGCAGGAGGGACCACCCUCCAAGGCUAAAUACUACCUAGUGACCGAUAGCGUAUAGUACCGUGAGGGAAAGGUGAAAAGAACCCCGGGAGGGGAGUGAAAUAGAACCUGAAACCCUGCACUUACAAGCUGUGGAAGCACAUUUCUUGUGUGACCGCGUACUUUUUGUAGAACGGGCCAACGAGUUACGUUAAGUAGCAAGGUUAAGCACUUAAGGUGUGGAGCCGUAGCGAAAGCGAGUUUUAACUGAGCGUUCAGUUACUUGACGUAGACCCGAAACCGGGCGACCUACCCAUGAGCAGGAUGAAGCGAAAGUAAAAUUUCGUGGAGGUCCGAACCCACGAGCGUUGAAAAGCUCGGGGAUGACUUGUGGGUAGCGGUGAAAUUCCAAUCGAGCCCGGAGAUAGCUGGUUCUCCCCGAAAUAGCUUUAGGGCUAGCCUCAAGGUGAGAGAUACGGAGGUAGAGCACUGAAUGUCCUAGGGGGUAUUGCACCUACCGAAGACUAUCAAACUCCGAAUGCCGUCAUCUUAUACUUGGGAGUCAGACUGUGGGUGAUAAGAUUCAUAGUCGAAAGGGCAACAGCCCAGAUCGUCAGCUAAGGUCCCUAAAUGUAAGUUAAGUGGUAAAGGAUGUGGGAUUGCACAGACAACCAGGAUGUUGGCUUAGAAGCAGCCACUCAUUCAAAGAGUGCGUAAUAGCUCACUGGUCGAGUGAUCCUGCGCCGAAGAUUUCCGGGGCUAAAACUUACUACCGAAGCUACGGCAUCAGUAAUGAUGGGUAGGGGAGCUUCCCAUACGGGUUGAAGCAUGACCGUAAGGACAUGUGGACAGUAUGGGAGUGAGAAUGUUGGCAUGAGUAGCGAGAUGUGGGUGAGAAUCCCACAGGCCGUAAACCCAAGGUUUCCAGGGGAAGGUUCGUCCGCCCUGGGUUAGUCGGGACCUAAGCUGAGGCCGAAAGGCGUAGGUGAUGGACAACAGGUUGAUAUUCCUGUACUACCGAUAACCGUUUGAGAGAAGGGAUGACACAGUAGGAUAAGCUAAGCACACUGUUGGUUAUGUGUGCCCAAGCAUUGAGGCAGUCAAAGUAGGCAAAUCCGCUUUGAUAAUGCUGGGAUGUGAUGGGGAGCGAAAUUUAGUAGCGAAGUAGCUGAUUUCACACUGUCAAGAAAAGUCUCUAUCGAGGUUAAAGGUACCCGUACCGCAAACCGACACAGGUGGGUGAGGAGAGUAUCCUAAGGCCAGCGAGAGAACUGUUGUUAAGGAACUCGGCAAAAUGACCCCGUAACUUAGGGAUAAGGGGUGCCACCAUCAGGUGGCCGCAGAGAAUAGGCCCAAGCGACUGUUUACCAAAAACAUAGGUUUCUGCUAAGUCGCAAGACGAUGUAUAGGAGCUGACGCCUGCCCGGUGCUGGAAGGUUAAGGGGAUCUGUUAGAGCAAUCGAAGCAGUGAACUUAAGCCCCAGUAAACGGCGGCCGUAACUAUAACGGUCCUAAGGUAGCGAAAUUCCUUGUCGGGUAAGUUCCGACCCGCACGAAAGGCGUAACGAUUUGGGCACUGUCUCAACAACAGACUCGGUGAAAUUGUAAUUCCGGUGAAGAUGCCGGAUACCUGCGACAGGACGGAAAGACCCCAUGGAGCUUUACUGUAGCUUGACAUUGGGUCUUGGUACUACAUGUACAGGAUAGGUGGGAGGCUUUGAAACCAGGACGCCAGUUUUGGCGGAGCCAUCCUUGGGAUACCACCCUUGUAGUACUGGGACUCUAACCAUAGGCCAUGAAUCUGGUCUUGGGACACUGUCAGGUGGGCAGUUUGACUGGGGCGGUCGCCUCCCAAAAGGUAACGGAGGCGCUCAAAGGUUCUCUCAGUACGGUCGGAAAUCGUACGUAGAGUGUAAAGGCAAAAGAGAGCUUGAUUGCAAGACAUACAGGUCGAGCAAGGAUGAAAAUCGGACUUAGUGAUCCGGUGGUUCUGCGUGGAAGGGCCAUCGCUCAACGGAUAAAAGCUACCCUGGGGAUAACAGGCUUAUCUCCCCCAAGAGUCCACAUCGACGGGGAGGUUUGGCACCUCGAUGUCGGCUCAUCACAUCCUGGGGCUGUAGUAGGUCCCAAGGGUUGGGCUGUUCGCCCAUUAAAGUGGUACGCGAGCUGGGUUCAGAACGUCGUGAGACAGUUCGGUCCCUAUCCGUCGCAGGCGUAGGAAAUUUGAGAAGACCUGUCCUUAGUACGAGAGGACCGGGAUGGACGUACCUCUGGUGUACCAGUUGUUCUGCCAAGGGCAUGGCUGGGUAGCUAUGUACGGAAUGGAUAAGCGCUGAAAGCAUCUAAGCGCGAAGCCAACUUCAAGAUAAGAUUUCCCACCGCAAGGGUAAGACCCCAGAAAGACUAUCUGGUUGAUAGGUCGAAGGUGUAAGUGCAGCAAUGUAUUUAGCUUAUCGAUACUAAUAGGUCGAGGACUUGACCAA